Molecule: non-coding RNA, 4272 nt
Organism: Bactrocera oleae (olive fruit fly)
Lineage: Eukaryota; Metazoa; Arthropoda; Insecta; Diptera; Tephritidae
Source: RefSeq, a predicted model, not a curated record
CGUCUAGAAGAGAAGGCUAAGAAGGCAGAGGAAUUGCAUGCUGCUGAAGUGAAAGUACGCAAGGAAUUGGAAGCCCUCAAUGCUAAGCUGUUGGCUGAAAAGACUGCCCUUUUAGAUUCGUUGUCUGGUGAGAAGGGUCAAUUGCAGGACUUCCAGGAGAGAAACGCUAAAUUGACUGCCCAAAAGAACGAUCUCGAGAACCAAUUGCGUGAUAUACAAGAUCGUUUGAGCCAAGAAGAGGAUGCCCGUAACCAAUUGUUCCAACAGAAGAAAAAGGCUGAUCAAGAAAUUUCUGGCUUAAAGAAGGACAUUGAAGAUCUCGAAUUGAGCGUUCAGAAGGCCGAACAAGAUAAGGCUACUAAGGAUCACCAAAUCCGUAACUUGAACGAUGAAAUCGCCCACCAAGAUGAACUCAUCAAUAAGUUGAACAAGGAGAAGAAGAUGCAGGGUGAGACAAACCAGAAAACUGGUGAGGAGCUCCAAGCUGCCGAAGACAAAAUCAACCACUUGAACAAAGUUAAGGCUAAACUCGAACAGACUCUUGAUGAAUUGGAAGAUUCAUUGGAACGUGAGAAGAAACUACGAGGAGAUGUUGAAAAGGCCAAACGCAAGGUUGAGGGAGAUUUGAAACUUACCCAGGAAGCCGUAUCUGAUUUGGAACGCAACAAGAAGGAACUAGAACAGACCAUACAACGCAAGGACAAAGAGUUGUCUUCAAUUACUGCCAAAUUGGAAGAUGAACAGGUCGGUGUUGGUAAACACCAACGUCAAAUCAAGGAGUUGCAAGCCCGUAUCGAAGAAUUGGAGGAAGAAGUUGAAGCUGAACGUCAAGCCCGCGCUAAGGCUGAGAAACAACGCGCUGAUUUGGCUCGUGAAUUAGAGGAAUUGGGAGAGCGCUUAGAAGAAGCCGGUGGUGCCACAUCAGCGCAAAUUGAACUCAAUAAGAAACGUGAGGCCGAACUCAGCAAAUUGCGUCGUGAUUUGGAAGAAGCCAACAUUCAGCAUGAGUCCACUUUGGCCAACUUGCGGAAGAAGCACAACGAUGCUGUCGCUGAAAUGGCCGAACAAGUUGAUCAGCUUAACAAACUGAAGGCUAAGGCUGAACACGAUCGCCAGACUUGUCACAAUGAGUUAAAUCAAACUCGUUCCGCCUGCGACCAACUGGCUCGCGAUAAGGCUGCCCAAGAAAAGAUUGCUAAGCAAUUACAACACACCUUGAAUGAAGUUCAAGGUAAAUUGGACGAAACCAACCGCACCCUCAACGAUUUCGACGCCUCCAAGAAGAAGCUGUCGAUCGAAAACUCCGAUCUGUUGCGUCAACUGGAAGAAGCAGAAUCACAGGUGUCGCAAUUGUCCAAGAUCAAGAUCUCCUUGACCACUCAAUUGGAAGAUACUAAGCGUUUAGCUGACGAAGAAUCUCGCGAACGUGCCACCCUCUUGGGCAAGUUCCGCAACUUGGAACACGACCUGGACAAUCUGCGUGAGCAGGUAGAAGAGGAAGCCGAAGGCAAAGCUGAUUUGCAACGUCAACUCAGCAAAGCCAACGCUGAGGCUCAAGUAUGGCGUAGCAAGUACGAAUCGGAUGGUGUUGCUCGUUCUGAAGAAUUAGAGGAAGCCAAGAGGAAAUUGCAGGCUCGAUUGGCUGAGGCUGAGGAAACCAUUGAAUCUCUCAAUCAAAAAUGCAUUGGUCUCGAAAAGACUAAGCAACGUCUGGCUACUGAAGUAGAAGAUUUGCAAUUGGAAGUAGAUCGUGCCAACGCCAUUGCUAAUGCUGCCGAAAAGAAACAGAAGGCCUUUGAUAAGAUCAUUGGCGAAUGGAAACUUAAGGUUGAUGACUUGGCUGCUGAACUGGAUGCUUCACAAAAGGAAUGCCGCAACUAUUCCACCGAAUUGUUCCGUCUCAAGGGUGCCUACGAAGAAGGACAAGAACAGUUAGAAGCCGUGCGUCGUGAAAACAAGAAUCUCGCUGAUGAAGUUAAGGAUCUACUAGACCAAAUCGGUGAAGGUGGCCGUAACAUUCACGAAAUCGAAAAGGCACGCAAACGCUUGGAAGCUGAAAAGGAUGAGCUUCAAGCUGCACUCGAGGAAGCUGAGGCCGCCCUGGAACAAGAAGAAAACAAGGUAUUGCGCGCACAAUUGGAAUUAUCUCAGGUUCGUCAAGAGAUCGACCGCCGUAUUCAAGAGAAGGAAGAAGAAUUCGAAAAUACCCGCAAAAAUCAUCAACGCGCUCUCGAUUCCAUGCAAGCCUCUCUUGAAGCCGAAGCAAAGGGCAAGGCUGAGGCGCUGCGCAUGAAGAAGAAAUUGGAAGCCGAUAUCAAUGAGCUGGAAAUUGCCCUGGAUCAUGCUAACAAGGCUAACGCCGAGGCCCAGAAGAACAUCAAACGUUACCAACAACAGCUUAAAGAUAUCCAAACCGCCCUUGAAGAAGAACAGAGAGCCCGCGAUGACGCUCGCGAGCAAUUGGGUAUAUCCGAACGCCGUGCCAAUGCCCUCCAGAACGAACUCGAGGAAUCCCGCACUUUGCUUGAGCAAGCCGAUCGUGGUCGUCGCCAAGCCGAACAAGAAUUGGCUGAUGCCCACGAACAACUCAAUGAAGUUUCCGCCCAAAAUGCUUCUAUCUCAGCGGCCAAGAGGAAAUUGGAAUCUGAACUACAAACACUCCACUCCGAUUUGGACGAAUUGUUAAAUGAAGCGAAGAACUCGGAAGAGAAAGCCAAGAAGGCUAUGGUUGACGCUGCACGCCUUGCUGAUGAGCUCCGCGCUGAACAAGAUCAUGCACAGACCCAAGAGAAACUGCGCAAGGCCUUGGAGCAACAAAUUAAGGAAUUGCAAGUCCGUUUGGAUGAGGCUGAAGCUAACGCACUGAAGGGUGGUAAGAAGGCUAUCCAAAAAUUGGAACAACGCGUCCGCGAGUUAGAGAACGAAUUGGAUGGUGAACAGAGGAGACAUGCUGAUGCCCAAAAAAAUCUACGCAAAUCUGAACGUCGUAUUAAGGAAUUGAGCUUCCAAUCUGAGGAAGAUCGUAAAAAUCACGAACGUAUGCAAGACUUGGUUGAUAAACUGCAACAAAAGAUCAAGACCUACAAGAGGCAAAUCGAGGAAGCCGAAGAAAUUGCUGCCCUUAACUUGGCCAAAUUCCGGAAGGCACAGCAAGAACUUGAAGAAGCUGAGGAGCGCGCUGACUUGGCCGAACAGGCUAUCAGCAAAUUCCGCGCUAAAGGACGUGCAGGCUCAGUUGGACGUGGUGCCAGCCCAGCGAAUUGAAUGCGACAUAGCCAAUGAUCCAGCGAUAAAGUGGUGAUGUGAUCAAACACAACACAUGAGAAGCAAAAGCAAAGAGAAUUUUAGUUCAUAGGCAGCCAAAACUGAAAGUCUAAAAUAAUUGAUAAAAUUAAAAAAUACUUACGCCAUCUAAGAUUCAAAUUAUUUUUAAUCAUGAAAAGAACAUUUUAGAAAAGUUUAGUUGAAUUAGCAAUCAUCAUUACCUCGAUUAAAAAAUAAUUUAAAAGCUGAAUUAAUAUUUAAAAAUAACAAAAAUAUCUUGAAUACUUCUACUUUUUUAUUAUUAAAUAUGUAUGUGUAUACUGUAGCCGACAUCGUCAAAAGGUGGCCGCCAGAAUACGCUGGACCAAUAAUUACUUCUCAUUACAUUUCCCCGAGCGAUGUCCGUACGGCCACAACUUGACGGAUUGGCUUUCCCACCAAGAUUCGACCUUGCACCGGAAAACGAAUUCUAAAUGCCAUUUCUGUACUUCGUUUAUAAAAAAUUAUUUUAAAAUAAUAUUUCAUAAUUAUUUGUUAUGUUUAAUUUAAUUUAAACUAUUUACAAUAUUUUUUUGUUUAUUUUAUUUAAAUAAAACAAAAACCAUGUAUAAUUCGAACGACGGGAGGAAAAUGCACUUAGGCAAAAACAUCUCUUAAAAAAUAAAAAAUAAAAAUAAAAAUACCAAAAACAAACAACAAACGAAUGUAAAACAAAAAACAAUGAAACAAAUAAAAAACCAACAUUAGCAUAAGCUCACAGCUAUGACGAAAUUUGUUCUUGUUAGUUAAAGUACGUACGUCACAUACGAUUUACGCAAAAUUCGGAAAAUCUUUGAGUUGUACUAAAGUCAGUCCAGCCCGUAUGUAUUGUAUUUAAUUUUUGCUUUUAUACAAAUAAUGACUUAAUUUACAACACCUAUAGAUAUAUUUACAUGCGAUUUAUAAAAAUAGUACGAAUCCGUACAACUAAGACACGAGUAAGAGUUAUUUCGAAAACAAUAAAAACUG